AUUGAACGCUGGCGGCAGGCCUAACACAUGCAAGUCGAGCGGAUGAAGGGAGCUUGCUCCUGGAUUCAGCGGCGGACGGGUGAGUAAUGCCUAGGAAUCUGCCUGGUAGUGGGGGAUAACGUCCGGAAACGGGCGCUAAUACCGCAUACGUCCUGAGGGAGAAAGUGGGGGAUCUUCGGACCCCACGCUAUCAGAUGAGCCUAGGUCGGAUUAGCUAGUUGGUGGGGUAAAGGCCUACCAAGGCGACGAUCCGUAACUGGUCUGAGAGGAUGAUCAGUCACACUGGAACUGAGACACGGUCCAGACUCCUACGGGAGGCAGCAGUGGGGAAUAUUGGACAAUGGGCGAAAGCCUGAUCCAGCCAUGCCGCGUGUGUGAAGGAGGUCUUCGGAUUGUAAAGCACUUUAAGUUGGGAGGAAGGGCAGUAAGUUAAUACCUUGCUGUUUUGACGUUACCAACAGAAUAAGCACCGGCUAACUUCGUG
RNAcentral lists this ribosomal RNA (484 nucleotides) under uncultured bacterium. Its description in RNAcentral is "partial 16S ribosomal RNA". It matches the Rfam family "Bacterial small subunit ribosomal RNA", at positions 30 to 507 of the family's 1533-position model. The record is from RNAcentral.